This 153-nucleotide unclassified non-coding RNA is filed under the name soil metagenome. Its description in RNAcentral is "partial internal transcribed spacer 1". The record is from RNAcentral.
CCGAGUUUACAACUCCCAAACCCCUGUGAACAUACCUUAUCGUUGCCUCGGCGGAUCAGCCCCGGCGCCCUAGGCCCGGGACAGGCCCGCCGCAGGAGACCCCUAAACUCUGUAUUCUUAGUGAUCUUCUGAGUAUAAAAAGCAAAUAAAUCA